CGGGUGGCAGCAGUAGGGAAUAUUGCGCAAUGGACGAAAGUCUGACGCAGCAACGCCGCGUGCCCGAUGAAGGCCUUCGGGUCGUAAAGGGCUUUUGCGAGGGAAGAGGAAGGACGGUACCUCGCGAAUAAGGAUCGGCUAACUACGUGCCAGCAGCCGCGGUAACACGUAGGAUUCAAGCGUUAUCCGGAUUUACUGGGCGUAAAGCGCGUGUAGGCGGUUUGGUAAGUUGGAUGUGAAAGCUCCUGGCUCAACCGGGAGACGUCGUUACAAAACUGCCAGACUAGAGGACGGUAGAGGGAGGUGGAAUUCCGGGUGUAGUGGUGAAAUGCGUAGAUAUCCGGAGGAACACCUGUGGCGAAAGCGGCCUCCUGGGCCGUUCCUGACGCUCAGACGCGAAAGCUAGGGUAGCAAACGGGAUUAGAAACCCCGGUAGUCCUAGCCGUAAACGAUGUGAACUUGGUGUUGGAGGCGUAAGAACCUUCAGUGCCGUAGCUAACGCGAUAAGUUCACCGCCGUGGGGACUACGACCGCAAAGGUUA
RNAcentral lists this ribosomal RNA (542 nucleotides) under uncultured Chloroflexota bacterium. RNAcentral describes it as "bacterial SSU rRNA". It matches the Rfam family "Bacterial small subunit ribosomal RNA", at positions 342 to 896 of the family's 1533-position model. Lineage: Bacteria; Bacillati; Chloroflexota. The record is from RNAcentral.